This 667-nucleotide long non-coding RNA is filed under the name Heterocephalus glaber (naked mole-rat). RNAcentral's name for it is "lncRNA (ENSHGLG00000031889.1)". Lineage: Eukaryota; Metazoa; Chordata; Mammalia; Rodentia; Bathyergidae. The record is from RNAcentral.
CUUAAUCAUCUAAGCACAAUUCAGAUGUUUUCAAUUAGUCUUUUCAGUUUACAUCAUGGAGGGAGAUGCUGAAUCAGAGUUUACCCAGCCUGCUCUUGCAUCAGGAUUACUGGCUGAGCUUGGUAAAAUUACAGAUCACUCCUAGUAGUUCUGAUCUAGGACCAUUUUGGAGGAAUCUAGAAGCUUUUCGGUUUUGGUGACAACACUGGUAACAUCCAACCUAGUAUCCAAUGACAUCAUAAAGGAAACUUAGAACUGAAUGAUAAUGAAAAUAUAGAGUCAAAAUCUGUAAUGUAAAAUUCAAGCAACAGGGCUACCAGCAUCUGUAGCAUCAGUGACAGCUGUAGUCACCUAUCUUUCCGCCCUUCGGGAGGCACCCUGACCGCCCUCGCCCCAGCACAGCUCUCUCCCUCCCUUAGGGAAGAGGCUCCUCACCUUCAUCGCCACAGUCUCAUCGCAGCAUCCUUCCACGGUCAUGCCCUGGACCAUCUUAUUCCUGACUGUCGCCUCACAUUCCAGCAGUGAAGGUGCUAUGAGGUUUCAAGCAAAUUUCCUUCAUGAAUACUUCAAUGGCUUCCAGUUUUGCACUAAUUCAGAAAAGGAUACAAUGAAUCUCCAAAUAUACAGUCUUCAUGCAUUGAUUUGAAUUAAUCAAUGAAGAAUAAAC